AGAUUGAACGCUGGCGGCAUGCCUAACACAUGCAAGUCGAACGGGAGUAGCAAUACUCUAGUGGCGGACGGGUGAGGAAUACGUAGGAAUUUGCCCUUAAGUGGGGGAUAACCCGGGGAAACCCGGAUUAAUACCGCAUGACCUCGAAAGAGCAAAGUGGGGGAUCGCAAGACCUCACGCUUUUGGAGAAGCCUACGUCGGAUUAGCUAGUUGGUGAGGUAAUGGCUCACCAAGGCGACGAUCCGUAACUGGUCUGAGAGGAUGAUCAGUCACACCGGAACUGAGACACGGUCCGGACUCCGUACGGGAGCAGGCAGGUGGGAAUAGUUGGACAAGUGGGCNCAAGCCUGAUCCAGUCAAUCG
Molecule: ribosomal RNA, 363 nt
Filed under: uncultured soil bacterium
Lineage: Bacteria
Description: bacterial SSU rRNA
Rfam family: Bacterial small subunit ribosomal RNA
Source: RNAcentral